This 253-nucleotide ribosomal RNA is filed under the name uncultured bacterium. RNAcentral describes it as "partial 16S ribosomal RNA". It matches the Rfam family "Bacterial small subunit ribosomal RNA", at positions 524 to 776 of the family's 1533-position model. The record is from RNAcentral.
UACGGAGGGGGCGAGCGUUGUCCGAAGUUACUGGGCGUAAAGCGCGCGUAGGCGGGUUGGUAAGUCCGCUGUGAAAGCCCGGAGCUUAACUCCGGAGGGUCGGUGGAUACUGCCAGUCUUGAAGGUGCUAGGGGGAGAUGGAAUUACCGGUGUAGCGGUGAAAUGCGUAGAGAUCGGUAGGAACACCAGUGGCGAAGGCGGUCUCCUGGGGCAUUCUUGACGCUGAGGAGCGAAAGCAUGGGGAGCGAACAGG